AGUUCUGCGCCGAAGCUCGUAAC
RNAcentral lists this non-coding RNA (23 nucleotides) under Arabidopsis thaliana (thale cress). Lineage: Eukaryota; Viridiplantae; Streptophyta; Magnoliopsida; Brassicales; Brassicaceae. The record is from RNAcentral.